RNAcentral lists this ribosomal RNA (391 nucleotides) under Eocercomonas sp. RNAcentral describes it as "partial small subunit ribosomal RNA". It matches the Rfam family "Eukaryotic small subunit ribosomal RNA", at positions 587 to 975 of the family's 1831-position model. The record is from RNAcentral. Lineage: Eukaryota; Cercozoa; Cercomonadida; Cercomonadidae.
AGCUCCAGUAGCGUAUAUUAAAGUUGUUGCAGUUAAAAAGCUCGUAGUUGGAUUUCUGAUUUGACAAGAAUGUGGUCGCUAGCCGUUAGGCGCGUGACCCAGAACUGUCUAUCAUCCUUCUAGAAAGCGCGCCUACCCUUCACUGGGCUGGGCGCGUGCUCUAGAUCUUUUACUUUGAAGAAAUUAGAGUGUUCAAAGCAGGCUUGCGCUAUGAAUACAUUAGCAUGGAAUAAUAAUUUAGGACUUCGGUUUUAUUUUGUUGGUCUAUAAAACAGAAGUAAUGAUUGAUAGGGAUAGUUGGGGGUGCUAGUAUUCCGCGGCCAGAGGUGAAAUUCUUGGAUUCGCGGAAGACUAACUUAUGCGAAAGCAUUCGCCAAGGAUGUCUUCUUUA